This 677-nucleotide long non-coding RNA is filed under the name Paramuricea clavata. Lineage: Eukaryota; Metazoa; Cnidaria; Anthozoa; Malacalcyonacea; Plexauridae. The record is from RNAcentral.
GCUUUUAGAAUACAGGCGCAAGCCUUUGAAAAUAUUUGGGCGUGUUUUUUUACACGCAAAAUCGUGCUAACCAUGCAUUCAUGUUUCUUUUAAACAGACAAAAUUGAUCACAAAUUUUGAAUCAGAAAUCAAUGCCAAAGUGAUAGAUAUUGAACUGAUCCAAAAACAGAUGACGGGACAAAUGGAAAAACGCCCCGAGUCAGUGACACGUGGAUACAGUACGGUAAGAUGACUUGAAUAUUCUUGAAUUUAUUCCAACGCACAUUUAGAUGAUACCGUUUACUAGAGGUGGAAAAAGUAUAUCGGAACCUAUUUCCCAGAAAUUGGGUGGGGAGGGGGGGGGGGGGAUUAANNNNNNNNNNNNNNNNNNNNGGGGGGGAUCUACAUUCUUGCAGAAAUUUUCACAGACAUUCUUUGAUGUUUUGACAGUUAAUUCUGAAAAUUACUCUAAUUGAAUAUCAAAAUUAUUGAAUGCUUAAGGUGGCUCGAUACAGUUUUCAAAAAUCCAUGUGUUUAACACUUUGACAUGUUCAAACUACGUAUUUUUAGGAUUUAUUCAGCAGAUAUUGGGUUUUUUAUAUAUUUUGAUAACUCUACUUUCAAAUUAUAUUAUUUUUAGUAACAGAUAGUUCGUUGCUAUGACGACAUACGUGUACGAAAUUCACUCCAAAAUGGCC